This 302-nucleotide ribosomal RNA is filed under the name uncultured bacterium. RNAcentral describes it as "partial 16S ribosomal RNA". It matches the Rfam family "Bacterial small subunit ribosomal RNA", at positions 508 to 809 of the family's 1533-position model. The record is from RNAcentral.
GCAGUAGCCGCGGUAAUACGGAGGGAGCUAGCGUUAUUCGGAAUUACUGGGCGUAAAGCGCACGUAGGCGGCUUUGUAAGUUAGAGGUGAAAGCCUGGUGCUCAACACCAGAACUGCCUUUGAUACUGCAUCGCUUGAAUCCAGGAGAGGUGAGUGGAAUUCCGAGUGUAGAGGUGAAAUUCGUAGAUAUUCGGAAGAACACCAGUGGCGAAGGCGGCUCACUGGACUGGUAUUGACGCUGAGGUGCGAUAGCGUGGGGAGCAAACAGAAUUAGAUACCCCUGUAGUCCCUGUCUCUUAUAA